UCCAGGGUGCCUAGUGGACAUGGCAUCUGCCCGGUAAGCUGGAACACUGUGGGUUCGAUUCCCAUCCCUGGAU
RNAcentral lists this transfer RNA (73 nucleotides) under Cordylochernes scorpioides. RNAcentral's name for it is "tRNA-Thr". It matches the Rfam family "tRNA". Rfam says of the family: Transfer RNA (tRNA) molecules are approximately 80 nucleotides in length. Their secondary structure includes four short double-helical elements and three loops (D, anti-codon, and T loops). The record is from RNAcentral. Lineage: Eukaryota; Metazoa; Arthropoda; Arachnida; Pseudoscorpiones; Chernetidae.